RNAcentral lists this ribosomal RNA (366 nucleotides) under Salmonella enterica. RNAcentral describes it as "partial 23S ribosomal RNA". It matches the Rfam family "Bacterial large subunit ribosomal RNA", at positions 888 to 1251 of the family's 2925-position model. Lineage: Bacteria; Pseudomonadati; Pseudomonadota; Gammaproteobacteria; Enterobacterales; Enterobacteriaceae. The record is from RNAcentral.
AUUCAUCUCCGGGGGUAGAGCACUGUUUCGGCUAGGGGGCCAUCCCGGCUUACCAACCCGAUGCAAACUGCGAAUACCGGAGAAUGUUAUCACGGGAGACACACGGCGGGUGCUAACGUCCGUCGUGAAGAGGGAAACAACCCAGACCGCCAGCUAAGGUCCCAAAGUCAUGGUUAAGUGGGAAACGAUGUGGGAAGGCCCAGACAGCCAGGAUGUUGGCUUAGAAGCAGCCAUCAUUUAAAGAAAGCGUAAUAGCUCACUGGUCGAGUCGGCCUGCGCGGAAGAUGUAACGGGGCUAAACCAUGCACCGAAGCUGCGGCAGCGACGCUUAUGCGUUGUUGGGUAGGGGAGCGUUCUGUAAGCCUG